GACCGAGUAGCUCAGUUGGCAGAGCAUUGGGCUAGCAUUCCAAAGGUCGUAGGUUCGAUUCCCACCGUGGUCA
This 73-nucleotide transfer RNA is filed under the name Paramuricea clavata. It matches the Rfam family "tRNA". From Rfam's summary of the family: Transfer RNA (tRNA) molecules are approximately 80 nucleotides in length. Their secondary structure includes four short double-helical elements and three loops (D, anti-codon, and T loops). The record is from Rfam by way of RNAcentral. Lineage: Eukaryota; Metazoa; Cnidaria; Anthozoa; Malacalcyonacea; Plexauridae.